UACGUAGGGGGCUAGCGUUGUCCGGAAUCAUUGGGCGUAAAGCGCGUGUAGGCGGUCCGGUAAGUCCGCUGUGAAAGUCGGGGGCUCAACCCUCGGAUGCCGGUGGAUACUGUCGGGCUUGAGUACGGAAGAGGCGAGUGGAAUUCCUGGUGUAGCGGUGAAAUGCGUAGAUAUCAGGAGGAAUACCUAUGGCGAAAGCAGGUCUCUGGGCCAUAACUGACGCUGAGCUGCGAAAGCUAGGGGAGCAAACAGG
Molecule: ribosomal RNA, 253 nt
Filed under: uncultured bacterium
Lineage: Bacteria
Description: partial 16S ribosomal RNA
Rfam family: Bacterial small subunit ribosomal RNA
Source: RNAcentral